UUCCUUUUCUUGCUCUCCUCUCUGUACUUUUUUCGAUGCUUAUAGUGAUUUUAAAGCCUUUUGGAGUUGUGAAAUCAAAGUGCAUAUGCCUCUUUUGGUGCGGAAUACUGACAUGGUUUUCAUAAAUGCAGUCACUUAUGUAAGCUAUGGUAAGACAUGUGAAUCAACAUACGACUUAGAAAGGUGUACUUUUCAUUCAAUUUUGUCUUCUUGUCAUACAUGUAAACGCUGAAAGAGAACAAAACGUAUCUCAAUUUACCCACAAACAAAAGACCAGAUUUGUUCUGCCUGCUAAGUUGUGUCUCGAUUAUUUCAAGCAUGUUUCAAGGGUCAGAUGAUCGUGCCAUGAACCUGUAGUGAGCUUCUUUUGCAACAGCAUAUUGGAUAGAGCAUUUCAAGCGCGACUGUCGACGAGAGGGUCCACUUCAUAAGGUCUACAGUAGAGAUAUAUCCUCAGUCUUCCGAAGUCGAGAUAACUCGCCAUUUCAGUAUUAAAGUAAAAACUGUGUAAUGUCUUGAAAAUAAAUAAUAUACUCUUUAAAUAAGACUGAAAUAUUUUUUGGUGUUCAGCAACUUCCGACUGAGUAAUGAGCAAUUAUUGUGCUUAUGACCCCUUAAACCAACUCCCCGGGAUAAUGAAGAGGUCCUUUAUUCUACUUAUAUAACCACCUGUUGAUCCGUCAGAAAUUCAUAUCAGAACGUCAGGGAAAUAACGUAUGCAUAACAGAUUAAUAUCAAAUUUAUCGAAUCUUGCACUAUACUCUCGGAAAAAGGAACUUUGAUUCCUUUUUAGGCUUUUUAAGGUCAACGAGACUUCUCGUCGCGUACAACAUGUGGUGAUUUGCGUUUUCUGCGAGCUAAUGUCAAUAUAGGUUUUAUUUGAUGAUGCAUUGGGCCGUAUUGACGUUCGUACUGUCUAUUGCUGUCACAGGAACCACAGGUG
Molecule: long non-coding RNA, 943 nt
Organism: Orbicella faveolata
Lineage: Eukaryota; Metazoa; Cnidaria; Anthozoa; Scleractinia; Merulinidae
Source: RefSeq, a predicted model, not a curated record